This 5192-nucleotide long non-coding RNA is filed under the name Marmota monax (woodchuck). Lineage: Eukaryota; Metazoa; Chordata; Mammalia; Rodentia; Sciuridae. The record is from RNAcentral.
UCUUUGUGCCUCUGGCCCUAGCCUACAGCCUUGAUGAUAAAAUCUCAUCACAAGUGUGUUCUUGAGCCCAUGACUUACUCUGGUGCAUUAUGAAACACACAGGGGCCAUGGGAACCUCCCCCUCAGGUGGGUGGCCAGCUGGUCAGACUGCAGAGGCCCUGAGGACUGCACUUGUGCCCGGUGUCUGAAGCGGGGUCAGUCUUGUUGGGAACCUGGCCCUUCCAUUGUGGACUCUGGUGCUCACUCCAACCAGUUAGCGGCCAAAUUGAAUUGCAAUCCGUGUCAGGGAAGCCUCCCCGUCUUUCCAAAUAUCUGCCCCCUGGACUUCAAGGUCAGCGUCAGAAGCAGAGACACAGCUUUGUGGAGACGGCUGACCAGCUCCUGCAAUUGCACGAGGUCUGGUCUCUGUAACGCGUGUACACACACGUGUGCGCGGAUGUCCGUGCCCGGCCACGUCUAGAGGUCUGGCCUCACGGUCUGAACGGGUCGGUGCCCAGGCCGCAGCCACAGCCCCUCGGCCUCCUCUACCUGGUGCCUUCUGCACUCCCUGGUCCUUUACCCCACACCUGCCAUUUGAGUUACCCGGUGAAGAGGGAGCUGUGCCUUUCAGUUCCAUCAACGCCCGGCAGGUGUACGUUGCGCUGCGUGGCAAAGGAAGGACCCACCGCUGGAGACCUGGGCAGGCUGCGAGGAAAUCAGGCAUUUAGCUGGCAUCAGAAUCCUGGGGGAGAUCGCCGUGGGCUGGGAGUGGGGUGAGGACUUGGCAGGAACCUUUCCAUUCUGAGUGUUUUUCUGACCCUGUCCAAAUCACACAACCCCGGGAUGGUAUACGAUUUUCUUUUUCCCACCCGACUGUCAUAGCCAUAAUAAUUGCUGCCCUUGGUAAAGGGUCCCAGCAGCAGCAGGCACCUGCUGUAUAUAUCAUCUUUAAAGCUUCCAGUGUCCACACUUGGGUGAUCCAUUUCACAGAUAGGAAAACUAAGGCCUAUGAAGUCACAUGCUGUGGGUGUACAUAGGGCCACGUUAAGCCAGAGCUGGACUCAGAACCCAGGUCUUAGGGAUCUAAAGUCCAGACUACGUUCUUUUUUCUGUCUAAGUUCUGUCAGCCCCAGGGAGACGCUUCUGGGCCCCUGACACCCAGGGACGCAUCUGCCAAGAGCUGCUACACCUGGUGUCACCUGGAUUCACCCCUUCCCCAUCACCCCGCCCUGAGCUGGUUUGUCUCUUACAGGUGACAAGGAGACGGAGGGAAGAAAGGCUUCCCCUGCUUGCCCCUGAUCCAGCGGCUCUCUGGGUCUUUUUAGCAGCCUGGGAAGUCUCCCAGUGAAACAGGGUUUUCAACUUGCCUUGGGCCCCCUCCCCCCAGCCCCUCUGCAAAAAAGGUCUACAGUGACUCUCGCCGCUCUGUGAUGCAGCCAGUACUGUUUAUCACGGCACUCAAGCCCUCCCAGAGCCCCCGCCCUGAUUUCUUACCCAUCUCUGUCCUGUAGCAGGAGAUUUUUCAGUGGCCGGGGUUGGCCUCCUGGACAACAUUAGUUCUAAAAUAGCUCCGGCCCAGCUCGGAGGACCUCGGGAGGCCUCGCAGGGGAUUCAUCCUUGAAGUCGUGGAACUACAUCUAUUUGACCUUCCUUUUUCUCCCGCUUUGAGGGGUCUUAACACAUCAUGCAGGAGUAUUUCUCUCGCGGCAGGAAAAAAAACUUGCUUUGCACAGAAGACAAAGAACCGAGUGUGGCUACGGCUGACAGAGAAGAGCACCGUUGGGGAUCCCCCAUGGGCGCCUCGGGUGGGGGGAGAUGAGGGAACUCCUCAGUGCCCCCCCCCCACCCCGGGUGUCCACUGCAAAUCAGCUGUCGGAUGAGAACUUCCUGUGGUUUAAAUGCUGAAGGAAGGCGCAUCCGAGGCGCAUCACCUUGCUAGUUUGGGGUAGCAGGCAUGAGCAUGGGUGUCUCGGUCCGGCUUGAGCCUGUUAGGUGACAGGGGCUCCCCACCCGGCCCUGUUUACCAACAGGACCACUAACCUUCAGGUGCCCACUCUCUGGGGCUGGGAGAGCCACGCCCCACGUGGAUUAUGUUCAGAAUGAAAGGGACAACUCCAAGCUGAGGCCAGCAAUGACCUAACUUCAAAGGAAUCACCUUCUCUCCUUGUCCCUUGUCCCACCCUCAGGGGACCCGCAGUCAGGGAUCUACCACCUGUGAGCCAGCUCGGCUGGCUGGAGAUCUGGAAACUCUGUUUAUUUCCCCCCCUUCCCUUGCUCUUCCCCUUUGCCUCCCUUCCCUUCCUCCCUCCCUUCCAUUGUGUGUGGAGAUGCCCGGGUUUGCUCAGCAUCCCCCCUUGAUGGACACUUAGGUUGCUUCCAGUCCCGUGCAGCUCAAGUCGGCUUCAGUGAACCAACUCGCGCACACUCAUGUGGUCCCUCCCUGACGGAGCGUGUCUACGGGAAGGAGUCCUAGAAAUCGAACCACCAAGAAAGAAGGCGGACUCACUUUCCCUGGUGGCAUAAGAUGACCCGAAUUUACUCCCUCACACUUUGCAGGGGGGGCCAGAAGUCUGAAAGCAAUUCUAGUGGAUUUGGUUCCUCUGUCUGCUCCUUUCCCCACUCCUAGUGGCCACUUCUAUCCUUGGCCGGUGACCCUUUCUUCAUCUUCAAAGGGCCCAGCUCUAAACUCUGCCUUGGCCUUCCAUCCCCUCUCCUCCUGACCUCCUGCCUCCCUCCAUCAGGACCCCUGGGACGACACCAUGACCACUCUCCAUAUGGAGAUUCUUAACUGUGUCACCUCUGCAAGUCCUUCCUGUCAUGUAGGUAGCUUUCGUUCGUUCAUUCAUUCAUUUGUUCACUCAUUCAUUCAUGCAUUCAUUCAUUUGUUCAUUCAUUCAUUCCAGGGUUUAGGGUGUGGCACCAUUUAUCAGCCUACUUGGCAGAUCUUUCACACUUUGCUUCUGUGGUGCCAGGGAUGGGACCCAGGCUCCAUGUAGCCAGGCAGGGACUGGACCAGUGAGUCACACCCCCAGCCCCUGUGCUCUGCUGAACUUUAAGGGUGUCUAGGUCUAUACUUUUGAAAAUGGUAGAUUGCCCUCCCUGGAAGUUGUAGCCUCUGCCUUGCCCACUGUCAACAGGAAGGGUGGCAGACGGGCUCUGUCAAACCCAUCUUUGCAAAUCUGCUGACAAAGUAUCGUCGCCGUUGAUGGUUUUAGUCAGCACUCCUCUCACCAGUGAGAUGGAGGCCCUGUUUGGAGGCCGUGUUUGCGUGGGAGGCUGUGGGCUUCCACUUGGGUGUUUGGUGCGCCCUCUUUUCAAGUCCCUGCCUUGGUUUUCUUUGAAUCCUUGGGCUUUUCCUUGGUGUGACAUUCCUCAGAGCAAAAUCAGCCCUGCAGGUUGAAUUGCAAAUGGUGCUGUUAUUACCAACCCCUUUUUAUAGAUGAAGAAACGGAGGCUUGGGGACCUGAAAUGACACGCUCCGGGCAGCGAGACCAUAAUGACAGAGUCAGACUUGGAACUGUCCUCGAUGUGAAACUUCACCCCUGCUGUGUUCGCAUCAGCUGGUGGCUCUGUAGAUUGUCUCUCUGUCAGACCAAGCAUCAGAAAUAGCAUAUAAAUUUCCUCUGUCAGAAGACGCUUUUGCAAUGUUCCAGGGCUUUUUUUGGUACCAGGGAUUGAACUCAGGGACACUUGACCCCUGAGCCACACCCCCAGCCCUAUUUGGUAUUUUAUUUAGAGACAGGGGCUCAUUGAUCUGCUUAGCACCCUGCCCUUGCUGAGGCUGGUUUUGAACUCUCCAUCCUUUCACCCCCCCCCCCCAGCUUCCACUAGUCCACCUGACACAUGAGGAAACUGAGGCUCAGAGGGACUUGGGAGCCCGGGCGUGUGUAAACCUGAGGUCAGAACUUGCCACCAGCUCUGGGCCUUCCCCUGCUGAUGUCCACCUUUUGUGAUUUCAAGUAGGUCAGGUUCAACCUUAUAAAAAACUUACCCUACCUGUGUACGACUACCCAAUGAUUUAUCUACUAUAAUUUUUCAAUUGAUCACAUUCUAUAUGCUUUGCUUCAUUCUAAUCAGUAACAGUGUUAAAAAUCACAGGUGUGACGCGUUCCUUCUUUGGUCCCUAAUUCCACAUAUCUAAGAAUUUUCACACGCUACCUACCAUCUUAUUUCCCAUAAGCACUACAUGUUUUGGAAACAGGGUAUUAAGAUUGUAGGGCCUGAUGGAAAACGAUAGACCAUCACUCUGACUGCUCUUGAUCAAGUAACUCCUAAAUGCCAGCCAGCUUCAUUUAAUCCUUACGGCAACUCUAAAAGACAGACACAGGUUUUUGCAGUUCAUAGAGGAGGAACCAGAGGCUCAGAGAAGUCAAGCAACUCAACCGAGGCCACACAGCUGGAAAGCAGUGAUGGUGGGAUGUGAGCUCAGAUAUUUCUGACUCAGAGAGCUGUGCAUUUACCUGCACAGCCCUGUCACCCUCCCCCGGUCUGGACAUUAGUUUACUAACUGCAUAGGUGGUGGCCAGUUGGUGAUUGCUGACCAGGGCAGUCAUCAUCCACAUAAGGCAUUUUGCUAUGUAUCUCGCUGCAGGUAACUUAGUGAGAUCUGUCUCAAAAAAUAAAAGGGAGCGGGGAGGGGAAUAGGAAAGACAAUAAAUGAAAUCAGACUUAACUUUCCUGAGCUCCUACAUGAAUGCACCACAGGUGUGACUCCACAUCAUGUUCAACCACAAGAACGGGAGCAAAAUUGGGAGGGGUCGCACCCCGCGUAGGUAUCCUAUGUCACAACACACCCUGCUGUCAGGUAUAUCUGAAAACCACAAAUGGAAAUAAGUAAACAAAAGGGGCUGGGGAUGUGGCACGAUGGUAAAGGUAAAGUGCCCCCCAGUUCAAUCCCCAGUACCGGAAUAAAAAGGGAAAAAGGAUGUCUGAGCCAGGCCCCCAGGGACUGAGGGCGUUUCCCAGUUGAACCCAUUCUACCGGUGAGGACGGUGCAGAGGUCACAUGAUUCCCUACAGUCACCCUGUCAGGGAGCAGCGUGGCCAAGAAUCAUAAAUAAUAUUAUUUCAAGAGACUCCAACUCCGUAACCUAAGGGCUGCCCUGAGUCUGGGAGACAGAAGGGGCUUCCCGGCCCUGACCCUACCACAGCAGGGCUCCCUCCAGGCGGGGCCUGGCUUCUGUAGGCUGCCAACCGCCUGAGCGUGUUCCCCCC